This is a long non-coding RNA of Aedes albopictus (Asian tiger mosquito), 1047 nucleotides long. RefSeq lists it as uncharacterized. The record is from RefSeq and is a predicted model, not a curated record. The transcript has 2 exons. NCBI's taxonomy places the organism in Eukaryota, Metazoa, Arthropoda, Insecta, Diptera, Culicidae.
UUUCAGCCAUAUCAUUUCAACGGUUCUAAAAAACGGUGCUCUAGAAAAUUUGAGCUAUGUACUCCAAAUACCUUAUCGUUAAAAGUAUGCAGCAAUGCGCAAUUCUCACGUUAAUUAUCAAACUGCAGUCGAUAGAGUCGUCGCAGACCGAUGCAAAAGACGCCAAGUGUGGAGCACCACAAACUAGAAAGAUAACUAUGUAUAUUUUAGUGAUUGUAAUAUUUUUUUUAGUUGAAUUGUACAUGUUAUUUGUAAGCCUUAUUAUUUAAUUGUGGUUCAAUUUGUACUUGUUUUAAUAGUUUUUGCAACAAGUUCACAAUGGCUUUCCAGCAAUGGUCUUUUUCUUUAUUUUUGAGUCUGAACCACCACAGUUAAGUUUUCUGAUUUUUAUGCAGGAUUUUUUAUCGUUCAAAAGUUUUAAUAUCUAUAUCAAAGAGAGAAUCUCAAACCAGCAAAAAAAUACGACAUAAAAACAAAGAAGGUACGACUGUUUAAAAGGUUUUUUAUUUUUCAUUUCGAUAUUAGUAUGUAUUUGAAAGAUAAUGCUGGUUUGCUGCAUGAAUAAAAAGUGUUGUAAAUUUAUUGUAGUAGAUUAUCUUGUUUUCAUUUUUUAAUGAAAAUGAGUGCGGGUACUUUGAUUUAUAAAAGAUUGCGCUUAAUCUUCAAAAGACGAGAAAUGAAUGAAUAGACAAGAUAGGCAUGUCCAAAUGGUAUAGUUAAGUUAGACCGAGUCUGAUAAUCGGGAAAGUAACGGAUCAGUUUUGUCUCCAAAGUUUAGUAUACUUAUAUCAAACAGAUGUUCAGCAAAGAUGAUAGGAACAUUCCUAGGAAAACUUAAAAACCCAUUUGGUAAAAAAUGUGCAGAACUGGGUGAAUGAGUGUCCAUGAGGAAUAAAAUUCCUACUUCCCUUUAAAACCUAUCUUUCAAAGAACUACUUAGCAAAACAGCUUAAUAACCUAUCUAUACUUAAAUUUUGUGUUGAUAUCCACAAAUUGUAACGUUUCUCUAACAAAAUCUAAAAUAAACACUCUUAUUGCCUCUGUAUA